CCCGCGCACCGGGAAUACGCUCUGGAAACGGAGAACAAAUCCCGAUGUACAGGAAGGAGGCAUCUUCUUUCUGUGAAACAUCCUUUCGGGGAUGGGGCGCGGAUGGACCUGCGGUGCAUUAGUUUGUUGGCGGGGUAAAGGCCCACCAAGACGAUGAUGCAUAGCCGGCCUGAGAGGGCGGACGGCCACAUUGGGACUGAGACACGGCCCAGACUCCUGCGGGAGGCAGCAGUAGGGAAUUUUCGUCAAUGGGCGCAAGCCUGAACGAGCGAUGCCGCGUGAGUGAAGAAGGCCUUCGGGUCGUAAAGCUCUGUUGCGGGGAAAAAAGGCAGCAUCAGGAAAUGGGUGCUGACUGAUGGUGCCCCGCCAGAAAGUCACGGCUAACUACGUGCCAGCAGCCGCGGUAAUACGUAGGUGGCGAGCGUUAUCCGGAAUGAUUGGGCGUAAAGGGUGCGCAGGCGGUCCUGCAAGUCUGGAGUGAAACGCAUGAGCUCAACUCAUGCAUGGCUUUGGAAACUGGAGGACUGGAGAGCAGGAGAGGGCGGUGGAACUCCAUGUGUAGCGGUAAAAUGCGUAGAUAUAUGGAAGAACACCAGUGGCGAAGGCGGCCGCCUGGCCUGUUGCUGACGCUGAGGCACGAAAGCGUGGGGAGCAAAU
This 657-nucleotide ribosomal RNA is filed under the name uncultured bacterium. RNAcentral describes it as "bacterial SSU rRNA". It matches the Rfam family "Bacterial small subunit ribosomal RNA", at positions 129 to 773 of the family's 1533-position model. The record is from RNAcentral.